GUGAGGAAUUUUCCGCAAUGGGCGAAAGCCUGACGGAGCAAUGCCGCGUGAAGGAUGAAGGCCUAUGGGUUGUAAACUUCUUUUCUCAGAAAAGAAUUAUGACGGUAUCUGAGGAAUAAGCAUCGGCUAACUCUGUGCCAGCAGCCGCGGUAAGACAGAGGCUGCAAGCGUUAUCCGGAAUGAUUGGGCGUAAAGCGUCUGUAGGUUGUUUAAAAAGUAUUCUGUCAAAGAUUAGGGCUUAACCCUAGAUAGGCAGAAUAAACUUUUAAGCUAGAGUUUGGUAGAGGCAGAGGGAAUUCCCGGUGGAGCGGUGAAAUGCGUAGAUAUCGGGAGGAACACCAAAGGCGAAGGCACUCUGCUGGGCCAAUACUAACACUGAGAGACGAAAGCGAGGGGAGCAAAUGGGAUUAGAUACCCGAGUAGUCC
This 426-nucleotide ribosomal RNA is filed under the name uncultured bacterium. Its description in RNAcentral is "partial 16S ribosomal RNA". It matches the Rfam family "Bacterial small subunit ribosomal RNA", at positions 354 to 796 of the family's 1533-position model. The record is from RNAcentral.